AUGGCAAUGGUCAGUAUAUAAGAUCCUUACGCUGAGGAAAUAGAGACAUUACAACAAAUCCACACAGCAGAAGAAUAUCUUUGGUAAUUCGCUGGAAAGGAAAUCAUGAAGUUGAUUGUUGCUGUACUAGUGUGUCUGUGUCUGUCCGGAAUGGUAGUGAGCCAGGGAAGAUUGGGAUCCUUUAUUGCAGGAGGGUUGAUCGGUCGCGCUCUUGGGAGAGGUAGGGGUGGUUACCACGGCUACUAUCCAAGGCCCUUCUACGGAGGAUAUGGAGGGGGAUACGGGGGAUACGGGGGACACGGGGGAUACAGACGCCCAUACUAUGGGUAAACUCUCCUGAGCGACACUGGAUAAUAACAGAGUUUACGAACGAUCACCAGUACCCAUAUUACCCAAAGGAGUACGGACAACAUGUUAAAUGCAAUGCAUAUAUAAUCGGACCUUUUUUCUUUGUUCUGUGAAAUGUUUUAAUCAAUAAAUAUUUAU
Molecule: long non-coding RNA, 486 nt
Organism: Mizuhopecten yessoensis (Yesso scallop)
Lineage: Eukaryota; Metazoa; Mollusca; Bivalvia; Pectinida; Pectinidae
Exons: 3
Source: RefSeq, a predicted model, not a curated record